Molecule: ribosomal RNA, 207 nt
Filed under: uncultured bacterium
Lineage: Bacteria
Description: partial 16S ribosomal RNA
Rfam family: Bacterial small subunit ribosomal RNA
Source: RNAcentral
CGCGUAGGUGGUUUGGUAAGUCGGGUGUGAAAGCCCCGGGCUCAACCUGGGAAUUGCAUUCGAUACUGUCAGACUAGAGUAUGGUAGAGGGAAGUGGAAUUCCGCAUGUAGCGGUGAAAUGCAUAGAGAUGCGGAGGAACACCAGUGGCGAAGGCGACUUCCUGGACCAAUACUGACACUGAGGUGCGAAAGCGUGGGGAGCAAACA